UACGGGGGGGGCAAGCGUUGUUCGGAAUUACUGGGCGUAAAGGGCUCGUAGGUGGCCAACUAAGUCAGACGUGAAAUCCCUCGGCUUAACCGGGGAACUGCGUCUGAUACUGGAUGGCUUGAGAUUGGGAGAGGGAUGCGGAAUUCCAGGUGUAGCGGUGAAAUGCGUAGAUAUCUGGAGGAACACCGGUGGCGAAGGCGGCAUUCUGGACCGAUAUUGACGCUGAGGAGCGAAAGCCAGGGGAGCAAACGGG
RNAcentral lists this ribosomal RNA (253 nucleotides) under uncultured bacterium. Its description in RNAcentral is "partial 16S ribosomal RNA". It matches the Rfam family "Bacterial small subunit ribosomal RNA", at positions 524 to 776 of the family's 1533-position model. The record is from RNAcentral.